Molecule: ribosomal RNA, 500 nt
Filed under: uncultured bacterium
Lineage: Bacteria
Description: partial 16S ribosomal RNA
Rfam family: Bacterial small subunit ribosomal RNA
Source: RNAcentral
AUUGAACGCUGGCGGCAUGCCUUACACAUGCAAGUCGAACGGCAGCGCGGACUUCGGUCUGGCGGCGAGUGGCGAACGGGUGAGUAAUAUAUCGGAACGUGCCCUGGAGUGGGGGAUAACGUAGCGAAAGUUACGCUAAUACCGCAUACGAUCUACGGAUGAAAGUGGGGGAUCGCAAGACCUCAUGCUCGGGGAGCGGCCGAUAUGUGAUUAGCUAGUUGGUAGGGUAAAAGCCUACCAAGGCGACGAUCAGGAGCUGGUCUGAGAGGACGACCAGCCACACUGGGACUGAGACACGGCCCAGACUCCUACGGGAGGCAGCAGUGGGGAAUUUUGGACAAUGGUGGCAACCCUGAUCCAGCAAUGCCGCGUGUGUGAAGAAGGCCUUCGGGUUGUAAAGCACUUUUGUCCGGAACGAAACGGGCCCUUCUAAUACAGGGGCAUAAUGACGGUACCGGAAGAAUAAGCACCGGCUAACUACGUGCCAGCAGCCGCCGUAA